UGUUUUCAUUCAGCAGAUUUCACAUACUACAAAAUGUGAUGCAUGAAAUGGUUUUAUAUCUUAAAAAUACCUUGAUAGCAAAAGUAUUACGUUUGAAAUGUUUAUUAAAAUGACAUCAAGUCAUUGUUAAUUAUUGUUCAAAACUCUUAGAUGUCUUACAAAACCAUUUUUACCUUCUUGAACAAAACUAUAUCUAUACACUUAUGUUCUUUUAUAUGUAUUGAUGUUAUAGUUUUCAUCCUUCAUUCAGUUUCCCACACUCUUGUGUAGCAAGGGUGUAUAAACCUGUUUGGACAAACAAUUACCUUCCAGUUAACUAUUAUAGGGAUAGUUAGGAGAUACAUAACAUUAUUCCUGUUACAAGGAAUUACGUCAGAGUCGGUUCAUUCAUGAGUCUAUACUAUACAUUACAUGUUACAUGAAUACGCUUACAUGAAAACGCUUACAUGAAUACGGUUACAUACAUACACUUACAUGAAUACGCUUACUUGAAUACGCUUACAUAGAUACGCUUACAUGAAUACGCUUACAUAGAUACGCNGAAUACAUUACAUGAGUACCUUACAUGAAUACAUUACAUGAGUACCUUUACGUAGAUACAUUUUCCUGUAUACAUUUACAUGGAUACUUGUACCUCGAUUCAUUAGGAUGAUUUAUUAGUACCUUCUGUGUAAAUUGUCCUGCCUAUCCUAGUUCAACGGGAUCUCUAGACUGGACUAACCACUCCGAAGCCCAGCUGUUAGCACCAGUGGUUGAUGAACAUCUACGGAUGCUUACGGUUAUUUCUUAUAUUAGGAGCACUUUUACGGGACUAACCAUUCCUUGGGCCUACUAUUCGCUACUGAGGUUGAUGAACAUCUACGGAUGCCUACGGUUAAUACUUAUAUUAGGAAUACGUUUACGGGACUAACCCUUCCUCCCACCUGCUGUAGCUACAGAGGACAAUUGAACAAUCUACGGAUGUUCAAAGGUUAUACAUUUCGCAAAUCGCGAUGUUGUGUUAAUCCUAAUACAAAAGGAUAACACUUACAUGAUUAUAUUUUUCCUAUUACUUUAUUUUGUGAUACAUUCACAUAAAUGAUGAGUUAGACUAAGUACUAUUUGUAAUAGUAAAAGAGAAGGAAAAACUAUCAUUAUCAUAGCAAAAGAUUCGAGUCUUGGUAGAAGACUACUAUAUUCUUUUCCUAUUUACUUUAUUUUGUGAUACAUUCACAUAAAUGAUGAGUUAGACUAAGUACUAUUUGUAAUAGUAAAAGAGAAGGAAAAACUAUCAUUAUCAUAGCAAAAGAUUCGAGUCUUGGUAGAAGACUACUAUAUUCUUUUCCUAUUUACUUUAUUUUGUGAUACAUUCACAUAAACGAUGAGUUAGACUGAGUAGUGUUUGUAAUAGUCAAAAAGAAGGAAAACCUAUCAUUGUCAUAACAAAACAUUCGGGUCUUGGUAGAAGACUACAUUUCAUACUAGUAGGAAAUAUGGGAUUUUCUAGGGUUUUCAUACUUAUAUCAACUGUUUCAUUUAAAGAUUUACAUGGCAUUCAUAACAGCUUUCCAAAACAAGACAAUGACACUUAAAUACUUAUGAAUUCACCAGCUUCAGGCUGAUACUGUCUUUCAAAAUAACUUGUAUUCUCAGGUCACCAGUUAGACAGGUACGAUGGCCAGGUUUUGAGAAGACGGAGCACAGAAAAGACUCAUCUUAUUUUGAUUAUUCAUUUUAUUGUUGUACAUUAUGAAAGAACACACAUGUAUUAAAACAUUACUUUUAAUGCAAUGGAUGAUGUUGUUGCUUGUUUACUACUUCACACUGUUAUGAUACUUCACAUGACGUCCUCCACCUCAGAACGUUUCCGCCGUUCUUGGUUGUGGGGUGUGACAGAUUGGUAUCAGAGCAUUGUUUAUAGUGAAUUAAGUAUAUCAACCCAUAAAAGAUAUACUAACUAUAAAUACAUUGGAAUUAAAACACUCUGUCUAAGAGUUUAUACUUUAAAUAGUAAAAUAUUUAAUUUAGUACACGUGUCUGCAUUCAUACUAAAAUCAGUGUCACAAUGACAAGAACAAAAGUAUUACGACUAUUGAAUAUCACAGGUAAGCUCGGGGAUGUAUGGUUAGUCUUGGGAGUAGCAUAGCCUGAUCAAUUAUGCUGUUCCGAGGAGCGAUUAGCACAUGCCCAAGAAUGGUUGUGGAAUGGCAACAAGUCAAAAAACUUACCAACAUUACCACAAUGAGAACAUUAUAACAGAACCUAAGUCUAAAGUACCAUAGGGGUGUUUUGUGUUACCAUAAUAACUUACUUGAGAACUAAAAAGGAUCUUCAUUACUAAGUUGAUAGUUGCUAAGUGGAUACACUAAGGCUAUAUGUAACUAGGAUGUUAUAGACAUAAAAUCGGUGAAAUUUUUGCUUUACCCUUAUUCCUUGUGAAUAUGGAGUUAAGGUUACUUAUUCGAAGGCCUAUCAUGUGUUGAUUACAUAUAACUGGUAUGCACUUUACAAAUAGCGAUAUAACUAAUGAAUAUUUUCUAAUAAUUAUCUAGAUAGCUCGUCUAAUAAUUAUUUUCUUACCCCAAUUCUCGCGUAGAUAACAUGGCUAGACUCCAUCCCCACGCCAACCCGUACCUUCCGAACGUUGUCAUUGUUGGAUGGUUUGAAGAAGAGCCAGAGAAUGAUCAUCCUAUCCCUGUGAAUGAUCACCAUGAUGAAGACCUCUCGGACGGUGCUAACUCCGAACCCGAGGUUGAGAACCUACCCCAUGCAGCUCCUUUUCCAAUUCCUAACCCUCGUCCGAAUUUUCAUGGCCCGACGCCUGAGUGGGUGGAAUGCUUGGAAACAUGGAGCCAAGGACAAGAUCAGCCCAUGCCAUUUAAUGGUGACCGAAGCUUCUAUGACCUGAGCAAUGGGGGCUCAGCAGAAAGAAUCUUGUCAAUCUUGGUCCGCAGAGUGGCCCGAAAUGAGAUUCAAGGCAGGACAGCCUUACAUCAGAUCACCGAAGUUGUCGCCGAUGCGAGAAUGCAUACCCUCUGCACAAUUAGUCUAGAAGAUGCUCGUGAGAGAUCUGAGAGAAACCAUGAAGCCCUGCUACAAGCACUGGCUGAAUCACGAGCCGAAGUCAUAGAACUUCGAGUACGCCAGAGGGUGUAUGAAAGACACCUACUUGAUGUGGAACGCCAACUGGCUGAACUGAGAGCUCACCAGAGGGAUGAUCGUCGCCAGUAGUAGAUACCUUACUUUAUUUUCCUUGUUAGAAAGGAAUUGUUUUUCUGUCUAUGCCCGAUGUGGCAUUUUCUAUGAAACUAUCUUGUACUGUAAGUACUGUUGGUUAGGUCUUUAUAUUGUCAAGAACUAUCUUCUCUGGAUAUGAUGUAAGACCUUUUUACAAGCUCAUUUUCCUGAACUUGUACGUCAUGAAUAUCAAAGUUAUUGACAGUCGGCUAACUUCUGUGUCAUUCUUUAUUCAAAUACUCUUAUCAUUCUUUCAUUAGAGUCUAUCUGAAACAUGCUUUAGUCAAGUCAUUGGACUAUAGAAAUUUAACUCCGGAGACAUCUCCAAGUCUCUUUUAAUGGUUGGAUCUUGUUAUUCACCAACCAACGAUACCUCGGCUAGAACGACAAACAUCUUGAGACCAUUGUACGAACUUACUUCCGAUCUUUGCUAGGACUGCAUCAUAGGGAUGUAGGUCAAACCUUCGUGAACAUACUUCUAUUCCGUUCUAGGACUGCAUCAUAGGGAUGUAGGUCAAACCUUAGAGAGCACACUUCUAUACUUUACAUGAGCAAUCGAACUACGUCUAGGUUCAAUCAUUCUCGCUCACAAAUUCAUUUUUCUUUCCGUGUAAUAGAAUCAUGUCGUCAAACAAAAACAAUCAACCCCUCAACCAAACACCAACUCUUCAGAUUGAUGCAGCUACCUUUCAAGCUGCAGUCUCGGCUGUCGUGUCAGCUAUUCUGACCCACCUUAACACUAACAACGCAAAUGUUGGUGGGAUUGUUAACACAAAUUCCAAUCCGAGUAACAAUCAAACACCUCAACGAGCAACAAACUACCAAGACACCCCGAGUCCUAAGACCAAGUGUAACAAAUGGAAGGCUUGGGCUAAAUGUAAGGACAAAUCGCAUCGAAGGGCGAACAGGAAACCACCACCAGUAACAACCUUCACAGCCACGACAGCGGUACCUCCUACUACCAUCCCUUCGGGUAUCCCAAUUGUCCCUAACCCAGCCAGACAAUGUGCUGGAAAUCUCCCAAAAUGUAUCCAAUGCAGUUAUCACCACCAUGGACCUUGUGGGGAGAUGCAGUGCUCAAAAUGCAACAGAAAGGGCACACCAUGCGUUACUGCAAGAGCCUAACAAGGCCGAUCAACCAAGUGCCUAACACCAGUGUAAACCAGGUUUGCUACGGUUGUGGCAAGGUAGGUCACUACAGAAGGAACUGCCCAGAGGUAGCAAAUGCUGGCACAGACGGAAGUAUGCUACCGACCACCGCCGCAAGAGAGACUACUCCGGACCCACGUUAAUGUAAUUAAGGCGUUUCGUUGUAACAGACUUAUAAACUAUCCAAAACUAGUGCAACCAGAGUCUUAUCUUUUGUGAGAUCCCGUCCGUUUAGGGAUGCUUGUGCUGCGUAUACUUGUAUUUUGUAGUAUACCUUGUUCGCAGCAAUAGUCCUGUAGUAAAUCUAAAAGUACAGUAACUCUGUUAGGGAUUGCAAUGUUGUCUUUUGUCUGUAACACCUUAUGUUCAAAUCUAUUGUCUUUAGUUUCCAUAUGAGUCCGACUUUAUCAUACGACUCGAGUAAAUUCGAUCCUCGCAAUACCAGCUUCAUACAUACAUCUCUUUCUCAGUAAACGUCUUUCUAAGCGAAACCGUCAUAUCAAAACACUGAAGUACUCAUGCAUGGAGUACCGCAUAGUUCUUUUCCUUUCCGAAGGAAUCCCCGCAGUAUGACUCGUGCAGUACGUCAAGUUCAAUCCAAAGAUUCAUACGGUUGAUCUAUCACUGAAAAAUGUAUACAUAAGAGUGAUACAUAAUCAAUGUUCUACAGGUUUAGAAUUGAUGAUUCCACUUUAACUUCUUUUCCCUUGAUGGGAUGUGAGCUUAAAGAAGAAUCAGUUAUUCGACUACCUUUUCAAUCUUAAUUAUAUACGACUCGUAUACACGAGAUUGUGAUCGUUGAACUAUGUAUGAAUUCCAGUAUGAACUUCAGGACGGAGACUGCCCAAGAGUACGAGUAAUUGCAUUGGCAUAGGAACAAACUUAGAACCCAGUAUGACUCUUAUAACUAGAUCGCCUUACAGUCUAAACACCUAUAGAGAUACAAGAAAAGCCCGGACAACUCAGCAAACUACUCAACAAUAGAAUUGGAAGACCAGGCUUCUCACCCUUGAGAGCUCUGGUCUUAUUCUUCCAGAAGUCGACAGAUUGCAUCAUAUGUACCUCGACGAUCGGGGACUCCGUUAUGAUUUCCUUUAGAAAUCGUUAUCUCUGCCUCACAUAGAUGAGUUGAUUUAGCGAACGCAGGGAAAGAAUUACUGUCAGAAAUGGACCUGAGAUCCGAAUAUCACCAGUUCGAGUGUUAGGGAACGAUGUCCUGAAGACUACCCUCCGAACUCGAUGCGGCCACUUCGAGCGUAGUGAUANUUCGAGUCCGUAGUGAUACCCCUCGGAUAGGACCAAUACGCCCAUAUUAUUCAUGAGCUAAAUGAGUAGGGUACGUCUUUCUUAUUGGGAUCAGUUCGUCAUUCUCCUUGUAGUGACCUACCUAUCUACCCUUGUAGUAAGAAAGAACCCAUAGAAACAUUACCUUCAGAGGAACUUUCGCAAAGUUCUCUAAACACGAGUUUUGAAAUUGAAGAGUCAGAUUCCUAAGACACAUUGUUAGGGAUGUGGGAAUUUUUUUGUACUCUUUCAAUUUGUCAAAAUCGUUGAAAAUUUGUCAACACCACAGACGCCGGCAGUAAUUCGCCAAAUUCUAGGUCGUGCAGACCUACUAUUGUAGUCCAUUCAAAACUCCUCGCAAAUUACAGAAAGCCUUUCGAAUUUGACCCAGCAAGGGGUGGCCCUUGACUGGGAAGUUAAGCGAGAGAAGGAACCUUUGGAAUUCCAAGUAAGAGACCAAAUUCUUUAGGAAGUCUCACUCUGGGAAUGGCUUAAUAUACUUCGUAAAUAGUGGAAGGCUAAAUCCAAUGUAGUUAGGACCUCCGGGAUUCUAACCAGAAUCGGUCCUAUAUCUCACAGACUAGACCUACUCCAUGAACUCAGUAACGUACAUUUUACCCUUCGCAUCUUGAUUUUUUUAAACCGUACCUUUCCAUUAGGACUCUCGUAAGCCACUAGACGAGAUUGAGAUUAACGAGAUCCUCGCCUUCGUAUUAGAACCGUAGUGACCCUCAACCGAGAGGUCAAGCGGACGAAGCAACACCAACGUCCAUUAGUGAAGGUUCGUUGGAAUACCAACCGAGGACCCGAUUUCACUUAGGAGCGCGAGAGCCAAUCGACUAGGAAGUUUCCACCUCACGACUCGAUCACUUCUACCUAUUUCCUUACCUAAAUUCUAAUUUCGGGACGAAAUUCCCUUUAACAGGGGGAUGAUGUGACAACCCGAAAUUUCCAUUCUGAACAAACCAUAUCAAGUCAAUAGAAGAUAGAAUAGUUACAGUGAAUUUCCAGACUUUUGGGUAUAAGUUUCAGUAUUUCAGGGUUUAGACUUAAGGAGAUAUCAGGAGAGUGGAUGCACUAGGGUUUUGUGCGACACUGUUUCAAAACUCUAUGAUAUUAGAGUUCAUUUCGUGAAUAAAAUAUUUUCUGCCAAAAAUCCCAGGACUAUAUAUAGGAUUCUAAACCAUAUUUAUUCAUUAGUUACAUUUCCAACUAGAGAAAAGCCGAAUUCUCUCUCACGGAUCUUCGGAUUUUCAUCCCAAAUCGUGAGUACUUCCAUCUAGUUGUAUUAUAUAGCUUAGAUUGUGCUUAAUAACAUCUAAAUCGGAUCAAAACCCCAAGAUUUGAGAGCUUACCGCUCAAGAACACUUGGAGAGUAAACUCUUUUAUAAGGGCCAAAGUGUGCCCAAUGUCCCUCCAGCCUUGGAACNAGCCUUGGAACUCAACCUAGAAACUACCAUCACAUGUUUAGACCACAAAAUCAUUAAGAAACAAAGGCUAGAAGUGAGUUCACGGCCAAGGAUGUUCUUGGGCCAUGAACUCCUUUUUAAGGUGCCAAAAUGCCCCAAAUGUCUUCCUUAAGCCAAGAGACUAGCAUAACACUUUACCCUAAUGUGUUUAGGACUAGAAAACUCCAUUAGAACACCAAGAGUAAGGUGUUCACGGCCCAAGAAGUUCCAACGUCGUGACCUCCAAACAAUAGGGCCAAAUGGUGCUAUAAACUCUUCUAAAGCCUUGUACACUAGCCUAGUUUAGUUCCUAGUUGAAUUAGGAAUGUGAAAACACCAAAAACACCCAUCCAAGGGAGAUUACGGCCGUAAUAUCCAUGGGAUUUGGUCCCAGGGCCGUAAACUCCUAAAAGGAGUUAUAUAAUGCCCUAAACUCUUCCAUAGACCAAGCCAUUAAGUAGAAAUGCUUCUUUGGGUCUUGUAGAGCAUCAAACACAAAAUGGACAUAUAAUUGUGAGCUUACGGCCGUAAACUCAUGAUUUUACUACCGUAAACUCCUUUGGUAGUGUCAUUAGGGCCGUGAACUUCAUGGUGGAGUUUUCCUUGAGCCCUACACACAAUAGCUUCCCCUACAAACACUUAGAUGCAAUCCUAGAGGCUAAUUAAACUUAAUAAAGGUGUUUAGCAUGUCAUUAGGUGUCUUGACUUAUUUAUUAGUUUUUUAUAGACUAAUUUGUUACAUAUAUGUGAUAUUAUAUGUUAACUAGGAUCAUAGAGUGUGUUCAAGACUUCACUUGACACCUAGCAAUCAUACCUCUUCAGUUCAUCCAUAUCACCCACAACAGGUGAGUUCAUACCCCUUAAUCAAUGUUUUAAAUGGUUUUAAAUGCUUUAAUGGGUGGGGAAUACAGGUAGAAAACAACAUGUUGUUAAAUCAAUCAUAUAUAUUUAUAACUGUGUUUUCAUUCAGCAGAUUUCACAUACUACAAAAUGUGAUGCAUGAAAUGGUUUUAUAUCUUAAAAAUACCUUGAUAGCAAAAGUAUUACGUUUGAAAUGUUUAUUAAAAUGACAUCAAGUCAUUGUUAAUUAUUUUUCAAAACUCUUAGAUGUCUUACAAAACACUUUUUACCUUCUUGAACAAAACUAUAUCUAUACACUUAUGUUCUUUUAUAUGUAUUGAUGUUAUAGUUUUCAUCCUUCAUUCAGUUUCCCACACUCUUGUGGAGCAAGGGUGUAUAAACCUGUUUGGACAAACAAUUACCUUCUAG
This 8366-nucleotide long non-coding RNA is filed under the name Lactuca sativa (garden lettuce). RNAcentral's name for it is "long non-coding RNA (LSAT_LNC002917)". Lineage: Eukaryota; Viridiplantae; Streptophyta; Magnoliopsida; Asterales; Asteraceae. The record is from RNAcentral.